GAUGAACGCUGGCGGCGUGCCUAAUACAUGCAAGUCGAGCGAACGGACGAGAAGCUUGCUUCUCUGAUGUUAGCGGCGGACGGGUGAGUAACACGUGGAUAACCUACCUAUAAGACUGGGAUAACUUCGGGAAACCGGAGCUAAUACCGGAUAAUAUUUUGAACCGCAUGGUUCAAAAGUGAAAGACGGUCUUGCUGUCACUUAUAGAUGGAUCCGCGCUGCAUUAGCUAGUUGGUAAGGUAACGGCUUACCAAGGCAACGAUGCAUAGCCGACCUGAGAGGGUGAUCGGCCACACUGGAACUGAGACACGGUCCAGACUCCUACGGGAGGCAGCAGUAGGGAAUCUUGCGAAAUGGGCGAAAGCCUGACGGAGCAACGCCGCGUGAGUGAUGAAGGUCUUCGGAUCGUAAAACUCUGUUAUUAGGGAAGAACAUAUGUGUAAGUAACUGUGCACAUCUUGACGGUACCUAAUCAGAAAGCCACGGCUAACUACGUG
RNAcentral lists this ribosomal RNA (497 nucleotides) under uncultured bacterium. RNAcentral's name for it is "partial 16S ribosomal RNA". It matches the Rfam family "Bacterial small subunit ribosomal RNA", at positions 28 to 507 of the family's 1533-position model. The record is from RNAcentral.